This 483-nucleotide ribosomal RNA is filed under the name uncultured bacterium. Its description in RNAcentral is "partial 16S ribosomal RNA". It matches the Rfam family "Bacterial small subunit ribosomal RNA", at positions 28 to 523 of the family's 1533-position model. The record is from RNAcentral.
GACGAACGCUGGCGGCGUGCUUAACACAUGCAAGUCGAACGAUGAAGCUGGAGCUUGCUCCGGUGGAUUAGUGGCGAACGGGUGAGUAACACGUGAGCAAUCUGCCCUUGACUCUGGGAUAACUGCGGGAAACUGUAGCUAAUACCGGAUAUGAGAUCUGAAGGCAUCUUCGGGUUUGGAAAGAAUUUCGGUCAAGGAUGAGCUCGCGGCCUAUCAGCUAGUUGGUGAGGUGAUGGCUCACCAAGGCGACGACGGGUAGCCGGCCUGCGAGGGUGACCGGCCACAGUGGAACUGAGACACGGUCCAGACUCGUACGGGAGGGAGCAGUGGGGAAUAUUGCACAAUGGGCGAAAGCCUGAGUCAGCAACGCCGCGUGAGGGAUGAAGGCCUUCGGGUUGUAAACCUCUUUUAGCAGGGAAGAAGCGAAAGUGACAGUACCUGCAGAAAAAGCACCGGCUAACUACGUGCCAGCCGCCGCGGUAA